AAAACCUAAACCAAAGAUAUGAGACAGAGAGAUUAGUGAU
This 40-nucleotide non-coding RNA is filed under the name Trypanosoma brucei brucei. Lineage: Eukaryota; Euglenozoa; Kinetoplastea; Trypanosomatida; Trypanosomatidae. The record is from RNAcentral.